UUUUUUUUUUUUUUUUUCGCUAUGGAUAAGAAUGAGGAUACACAAAUUGAUUUUUUAAACAAGAAGAAAAUGUGGGCACAAUGAAAUGUCACCAAAUAAACAAAGAAAAUUCCUGCAGUGGGUGGAAGGCUGAACCAGGUGCCCUUCAAGUAUCCUGCCAACAUAUCUCUUUGCAGAGCUGACUGUUCUGACUCUGGGACCCGCCCGAGCCCUAGGAUUUCCGGGAGAAGCUUUGCUUCAAGAUUCCUAGUUAGUAUCUUCACUUCCAUCCUGCCUCUUCAAGGCACUGGGACUGAAUGUCCCCUUCCAUGCCACCUGGGAACCUUUGGGUUGUGACAAGAAAGAAAAGAUUUCUCUUUGUGAAAUCCAGCAAGAUCUGGUCCAGCAAGAUGCACACAGUCACACUGAAAGCGCUCGCCACUGGCAGCUAAGAGAUCCAGCUGGCCAUUAUCCAGCAGGCCAUCUUGCCUAUAGACAUUUGUCAAUCUCCUGAGCUUGGGGAAUGCCCCAGGAGCCUGACACCUGCUACUGAAGCUGAAAAUGCCUAGUCCUUCUUUCCCCGGCCUCCCUCACGUGUAGGGCAAGACCAAUGAGCUGAGGUUCCCCUCAUCAGUCCCACCCAUGCCUGACUUUGAGCCUGAGGCAGUAAUACAAAGUAGCACAAAUCCUGAGAAACCCACUCCAGAGAGGAUGGGUAAGAGCAGCAGCAGGAGUGAUGAUGGGCUCGGAGAGGCAGUGGUUCUCUUGCAGCCUCCUGACCCAGCAUCAGCGGUGUAGGCGAUGAUGGACAUGCCCAGUGGUUAGAAGCAAUGUCAUCAGACCACUUCAGCAGCAUCUGCGACAUGUUCCUGGAUGCGGAGCCUCCAAACCUAGUUUCCCCCUCCUCAUAGAGAUGCUGAGCUAAUGCAUUCUGCUUAUUUUUUUUUUAGGGCCACACCUACGGCAUAUGAAAGUUCCCAGGCUGGGGGUCAAAUCAGAGCUACAGCUGCCAGCCUACACCACAGCCACAGCAACGUGGGAUCUGAGCCUCCUCUGCAACCUACACCACAGCUCACAGCAACACUGGAUCCUUAAUCCACUGAGUGAGGCCAGGGAUUGAGUACCCAUCCUCAUGGAUCCUAGUGACGUGCGGUGGGCUGAGCCACAAUGGGAACUCCUCAAUCUAUUCCUAAAAAAUAUUUUUUCACCUUAGCCAGGGGUGAUUUCUGUUGCUUGCAAACAAGACCUCUGAUGGAUAUAAGAUUCUGUACAAAAAUCCUGCACUGGUACUCGGAAAUUAUAAUACUGCAUCUCUUGGGUUGGGUUUUAUGUGUUUUUGCCUUUAUAAAUUUUAACUUUGUGUUGCAAUCAAAAAUAUACAAAAGAAAAAUGCACAUUUCAUGACAGUACAGCUCAUUGAAUUUUCACAAACAUACCCAUGUAACCAUUACUUCACAUCAAGAAACAGGAUCAUCAUUACCAUGACUCCCCAAAGCCAUUCUUAUCACCACCAUCAACCGAGGACAACCAGUAUCCUGACUUCUAACACCACAGGUUAGCACUGCCUGUUUCUGUAAAUACACAGAUGCAGUGCAUCGUCUUUCUCUGGUCUGUGCAUUACCUCUGUUUAUCUUUUAUUCAACAUUAUGCUCUGAAGAUUCAUCUGUACUCUCUGCAGCUGUUGCUCAUCUAUUUUGAGGGCUGUAUAGUAUUCCAGUGGAUGAAUAUAUCACAUAUAUCACAUAUAUAUCACAUAGUCAUUGUGAGUAUUCCAGUUGAUUUAUUCAUUCCAUUGCUGCCAAGCACUUGGGUGCUUUCUAAUUUGGGGCUAUUUCAAAAAGGCCUUCUGUGAGCAUUCUAGUACACAUCUUUUGGUGAAAUGUGAACAGACUUUUGUUGCAUAGCUAGCCAUGUUCAUAAUGCACAUAUACAUUCAACUUUAGUAGCUGCUGCUCAACAAUUUUCCCAAAUGGUCAUAUCCAUUAGAAUGAUUUUUAAUUUAAUUUCCAGAACAAUUGUUGCUCCAAAGAUAUAAGACAAUGGGGAAAAAUGAGAAAAGGAGAACCACGUAGGGAAAAAUUCAUAUGGGGACAUUUUCCCCUUCUUAAAUGAUUCCACAGCAGAUGUAUUAAGAAGCCCUGGUAUUCAGCACUUUGCCACUGGCUUGACCUGGGUUAAAUGAUUGCUGACAGGUCACCGUGAAAGUCAAGGGCACAGCUGGAACAAGACUUCUGAACUCUUGGCCUUUUGACCCAGCAGCAGAGACUCACACAUUCUUGCAGGCACCACUGGCCCCAGGAAACCAGCAGCCAAGUCUCCACAACAUCACCGCUUUGCCCAGCGUGAGAGGAGAAGGCUAGCAUUUGGACUGGGACCCCGGGCCCGAACACCUGCAGGGCCAGCAGGGACUUAAAUCUGGCCAAGAGGGCUGGGCAUGAUGGGGAUCCGGUCAGGACGGGUGGGGAUUCGAAUACACUGAGAACGAGCGCUCCGUCUUAAGGGGACAUCUAUUACUCAGCUCACAGAUUUUUGCUGCAUGGGAAAGAAGAGCCCACUGUUGCCAGAUUUUCUGACUCUUCAAGAGAAGCUGGAAAACUGGAUUUCUAAAUGAGAUACGGCAAUUGGCAAAAUAGGCAACUAAAUUGAAGAAACCCAUUAAAAAAUGAAAUCAUGCCAUUUGCAGCAACAUGAAGGGACCCAGAAAUUAUCAUACUAGGCAAAGUAAGUCAGAGAAAGACAAGCAUCAUACAUCACUUAUAUGUGGAAUCUAAAAUAUGACACGAAUGAACUUAUCUAUGAAACAGAAGCAGACUCCAGACAUAGAGAACAAAUUUAUGGUUACCAAGGUGAGGGGGAGGGAUGGGGGAGGGGCAAAUUAGGAAUUGGGGAUUAACAACAUACACUACUAUAUAUAAAAGAGAUAAACAACAAGGACCUACUGUAGAGCAUAGGGAACUAUAUUCAAGAUUGUAUAAUAAAUAUAAUGGAAAAGCAUCUGAAAAAGAAUAGAAACAUACAUAUAUCUGCAUAGCAAAAUGACUGUUAUACAUACACACUUUGCUACAUACAUGAAACAUUGUAAAUCAAUUAUACAUCGAUUAAAAAAUAAAUGAAUAAAAAUAAAAACAAUGAACACUGUCAGCCCAAUAACACACACCUAUGGAUCAGAUCUGGCCCAUGAACCACCGGGGAGGCAUCUCUGAUUGAGAUGGACUGGGCACUACACACUCACAAGAAGAGGCUUUUUGUGGCUGCACAGAGCAGAUCUCAGUGAAAAGAACUGACUGUGAGCUGCGGCGAGCAGGGACAAGGAUCAAAUUCUUGUCGUGGGCUCCCUCUUUAUGGAUGGAGGACCCCUUUUUGUUACCCCGAUUAAGUCAACAUUGAACUUCAAACCCUUAAUGUCAUGAAGACCUCGGCUAAGUCCCCUCACCCCUGAAGGACAAGAGCUCUUUCUGGCGGCUCCUAUACAUCCAGCAGUGACCUGUCAGGUCAUCAGCUGGGGGUCGCUGCCUCAGCCCCCAGCCCUCACUUCACUUGGCAGAAUCCAUUUGAAGUGAAGCUCAACUUAAAAAAACAAUUUAUCCACCGAAGAAGUCAUCACUAAGACGACGCGCUCACAUCUGACCUCCUUUCCAAUCAGCCCCAUCUCCAGAAGUGAAUUUUCGACACUGCACCUCCCCAACGUGGCUGCAAUCGCCUUCAGGAGAGCGGGUCACUUGACUCUUUUCUUUUUUUCAGCUAUUUGGCACAACUACCAUCUGCCUCUCCCUCGUUCCCUCUCCAUGACUGUCCUCAGAAAACACAUCUUGCACACGUACACACACGCACACAUGUACACACACAUAGCCCCAUACAGCAAUUCCAAGAGGGAACAGCUGGGAACAAUCUAGCAACCAGUAUGAACAGAAAGAGAGGUGCACUUAGUCUCUCCCGGCCUCACCACCCGCUCUCUAGUUCCAAGUUAGGCCAGGCACACAGGGGACACUCAACAAUCAGCCACCCAGUGUCCUUCUGCUCCCAAAACGAGCUUGCAACAUCCCACAUGCGCAAUUAAUAAAGAAGCCAAUGGCCAUGUGGGGAUGACACGAGUGCUUACCAAGGAUGUGUAGUCUCGCCACACCCUGUGGGUAGGUUGAAACCAAUGAGAAGCCAUCCCCCCCCUCUCUCUGCAAGUUGAAACAAUUGAGUUGUCUUUCUUGCCAAUGUCUCUUACUCAAUCUUGGAUCCAAAGGGGGUGGUGGAGAAGGAGGCCGGGAGGGGGGACCCGGACGGUGCUCGGCCUCCACCAUCAGGCCCGGCUGUUAGAACGGUCCUGGGGACCCAGGACCCAGAGGAGAGGCCAGCACCGGCUUGGCGAGGCAGACGAAGAAACAGUGAAGGGUGACCUGCGGGGGGCAGCGCCCUCAGAGGUGAUCCCAAAGGGAAUGGAAGGCAAGGUCCCAGCUGCGGGGAGUUUUCUGAUUCGCUUCCACGCGCCGUCUCCCUCCUCAAUCGUCUUCUUAGAAGCAGGAUUGCCCGUCCCCUGCAGGCAUCGCACGUUGCUUAUUUACAAUCACUGUUACGAAGAAGAGGCCAGACGCAGCGGGGUGAGCCCCGAUAGCCCGCGGCUGGGCAGGAAGAAAAGUCUGAGUCCCAAGUCCAAGAAUAUCAUCAAAUCCUUAUGAAGCAUCCGUUGUUGUAAUUUUCAAACGCUGGUUUGAAGAGCCUGUCUGAGAUUAUCCAGGGCUGUGGGCAGAGCCAACGCCACACCCACUGUGGGCUUUAUGCUUCCUUUUCAAAAGUGGUUUUCUUCUUUAAAAAAAAAAAAAAAAAAAAGCUCUUACACGUUAGUCUCCAUUGAACACGGAGCAUCCGUUCGAUCUGCAGACAUAGACCAGCACUGUCUACUGCAGGGAGAGGCCAGAAAAAUCCAAUGAGAUGAUGACCCUGGCUUUGAAGGAAUUUAUACCUCGGCUGGGGGAGAUCCAAUUUACCCACCAGAGUUCAAAGGCUUCGGUCUCUUCAGAUCGUGUGCCCCUGUAAACAUAACACAUCCACAAGCUCCCCCUCCUCGAGGGGGCAUUCUGUACCUGGCAUCAUGCCCAGGACCUUCAAGGCAGAGGUUCUCCUCCCCACAACCACCUCGGAGGUGGACACGAUUUCACUCCCAUUACACAAAGGGGCACAGGGAGCUUCCGGGAUCAGCCACAGCUGGGCCAUGCAGGUGACAGGUGACACUGCGCCUCCUGCCCUCGGGUCUCUUCCAGUAUUUACCACUUUCAUCCUGGAAGUCCAGCUGCUUCUAUUCACCUUCUUUCCCAAAUGGACAGAGCACCCCAAGGCAGGCACCAGGUCGUUGCCUGCAAACUGCCCUCAGCCUUCGGCUUAGCACCGUGGCAUAAGUAGGCCCUUCUUAGACAAUGCUUAUGGAGACCCUUAGAUGAUGCUUAUUGAAUGUGUGAAUUAAAAAACCUUACAAGGGAGUUCCCGUCGUGGUGUAGUGGUUAAUGAAUCCGACCAGGAACCAUGAGGUUGCAGGUUUGAUCCCUGGCCCUGCUCAGUGGGUUAAGGAUCCGGCGUUGCCAUGAGCUGUGGUGUAGGUUGCAGACGCGGCUCGGAUCCCUCGCUGCUGUGGCUCUGGUGUAGGCCAGUGGCUACAGCUCUGAUUAGACCCCUAGCCUGGGAACCUCCAUAUGCUGCGGGAGUGGCCAUAGAAAAGGCAAAAAGACCAAACAAACAAACAAAAAAACCUUACUAGAGGGAAAAGACAACUCUACCCUUUCUUCAGAUACUUUCUGAGUUUCUAUUAUGUGUCUCUCAUUCUGCUGGACGUGGGCACCCAGCUGAGCCGUAGAGCCCAGGUCUCAGGGACUUGGUCUGGUGAUGAGAAGGUCCUAGAGUCAUAGGAAUGAGCUGUGCUUACCCAAAUUCCCAAGGAGCCCCCUGUGCUCCCUGUACCAGGAAUCGGAUGGAGACACAGUCCUUGCCCCGGAGGUGGUUCUCAUUAAGGAGGGAAAACGGGUCCACAAGAGCAGGAUUGGAAAACAGAAUCAGAAAGCUCUGAUUUUCUAGGAGAAAAGAAGCUUCCUGAGGCCCCCAGAGGUCACCCCAGAGGUCAGCUGGCUCAGGCAGGCAUCCUUCCAUGAGCAUCCUUCCUCCUGCCCUUGCAUCCUACACUGUAUCGAAGCAGAGGCAACACACACAACAAGAAGUGACACGUGUCACCACCACACACCCACCAGCAUGACCAAACUGGUAAGAAGUGACAGCACCAAGUGCUAAGCUGGAGCAACUGGAAUGCUCCGACACUGCUGGCGAGAGCCUGAAAGGAGGCAGGCACUCUGGGGCAAGGUCUGGUGGCUUCUUACAAAAGGAAACAGAUACCUACUCUGUGACCCGGCAAUUCCACUCUUAGUUAUUUACCCAAGAGAAAUGAAAAUGUGUGUCCACAGGACGUUUUGUUCAGGAAUGUUCAAGGCACCUUCAUUCCAAACAGCCAAACACUGGAAAGAAGGCAGGUACCCAUCAAGGGCAAAAUGGAUAAACAAACUGAACAGUCAGCUGAUGGAGCAGCGUUCAGCAGCAAAGAGGCACAAACACCGACACAGGAAACAACGUGGAUGAAUCCCAAAGAUAUCGUGGUGAGUAGGAGGUACAUGACGCAAGACACACCGCCUGACUCCGCUUAUGUGAUGUCCCCCUGCGAGUUGGCAAAACUAGUCAGUAAAAAGAACCAGAGUUGUUGCUACUGGGAGCAUACGGGAUGGGAUGGCAGAGGCCACGGAGAACGUGCUGGGGUGCUGGUCUGUAUCUACGCGCGACCUCAGAGCCGUGCAGCACAGUGCUUGCAACUUUUACCUUAAAACAAAACCCCCCAAACCCUGCUGCCACAUAUCGAAUUCUAGGUAAUGAUUACACACGCUGUAGUAUUGGGAAGGAAGCAUCCUUGUGCAUGGAACUUCCUUUCAACAGGUCAAAGAAAACGGGACAGAAAGACGUCUGGAAAUGAGGCUGGACGUGUGAUGAAGCCAGUCCCACAAAAGUCAAUGAUAGACGGACCCAGUGGGAAUAUGGAAGCUUGGUGUAAAAUUCUCCCCAUGUUUACGCAUCCUGGAAACUUCCCACAGUAAAACUGCGGGGAGGGGGCGGGGGCCUUCCCAACAGCUGUAUGUGAAAAGAACACUGAUGUGGUGGGUUUUCCAGGGUGUAUGGAUUUAGGAGGCUGGGAGCGCUGAAAGGAAGGCGGUGCGGGUGCUGGGUUUAAAGCACCCAACGCAGAGAUUCACGUGGGGCCUGGGUGAAGACCAAAGUCCGAGCAGCCUGGGUCUGCAGUCAGUCACUCCGCCCAAGAUGCAAUUUCCUGGUCCCCGGAUCCAGCGCCUCUUGGACUUGAACUACCUCUCACUAAAUAGCAUUUUGGUGAGUUAAGUGUAAAUGAAUCAGAAACAAACGGAUUAAGUUUCUGGGCGCACAGAGAAA
RNAcentral lists this long non-coding RNA (7440 nucleotides) under Sus scrofa (pig). RNAcentral's name for it is "lncRNA (ENSSSCG00050060013.1)". The record is from RNAcentral. Lineage: Eukaryota; Metazoa; Chordata; Mammalia; Artiodactyla; Suidae.